AUACGGAGGGUGCGAGCGUUAAUCGGAAUUACUGGGCGUAAAGCGUACGUAGGCGGUUGGUUAAGUUAGAUGUGGAAGCCCCGGGCUUAACCUGGGAACUGCAUUUAAAACUGGCGAACUAGAGUUGAGGAGAGGGGAGUGGAAUUUCAGGUGUAGCGGUGAAAUGCGUAGAGAUCUGAAGGAACACCAGUGGCGAAGGCGACUCCCUGGACUCGAACUGACGCUGAGGUACGAAAGCGUGGGUAGCAAACGGGAUUAGAAACCCUAGUAGUCC
RNAcentral lists this ribosomal RNA (274 nucleotides) under uncultured bacterium. Its description in RNAcentral is "partial 16S ribosomal RNA". It matches the Rfam family "Bacterial small subunit ribosomal RNA", at positions 523 to 796 of the family's 1533-position model. The record is from RNAcentral.